GAUGAACGCUGGCGGCGUGCCUAAUACAUGCAAGUCGAGCGAACAGACGAGGAGCUUGCUCCUCUGACGUUAGCGGCGGACGGGUGAGUAACACGUGGAUAACCUACCUAUAAGACUGGGAUAACUUCGGGAAACCGGAGCUAAUACCGGAUAAUAUAUUGAACCGCAUGGUUCAAUAGUGAAAGACGGUUUUGCUGUCACUUAUAGAUGGAUCCGCGCCGCAUUAGCUAGUUGGUAAGGUAACGGCUUACCAAGGCGACGAUGCGUAGCCGACCUGAGAGGGUGAUCGGCCACACUGGAACUGAGACACGGUCCAGACUCCUACGGGAGGCAGCAGUAGGGAAUCUUCCGCAAUGGGCGAAAGCCUGACGGAGCAACGCCGCGUGAGUGAUGAAGGUCUUCGGAUCGUAAAACUCUGUUAUUAGGGAAGAACAAAUGUGUAAGUAACUAUGCACGUCUUGACGGUACCUAUCAGAAAGCCACGGCUAACUACGUG
RNAcentral lists this ribosomal RNA (496 nucleotides) under uncultured bacterium. RNAcentral describes it as "partial 16S ribosomal RNA". It matches the Rfam family "Bacterial small subunit ribosomal RNA", at positions 28 to 507 of the family's 1533-position model. The record is from RNAcentral.